RNAcentral lists this ribosomal RNA (301 nucleotides) under uncultured bacterium. RNAcentral's name for it is "partial 16S ribosomal RNA". It matches the Rfam family "Bacterial small subunit ribosomal RNA", at positions 509 to 807 of the family's 1533-position model. The record is from RNAcentral.
CAGCAGCCGCGGUAAUACGUAGGGUGCAAGCGUUAAUCGGAAUUACUGGGCGUAAAGCGUGCGCAGGCGGUUUUGUAAGACAGAGGUGAAAUCCCCGGGCUCAACCUGGGAACUGCCUUUGUGACUGCAAGGCUGGAGUGCGGCAGAGGGGGAUGGAAUUCCGCGUGUAGCAGUGAAACGCGUAGAUAUGCGGAGGAACACCGAUGGCGAAGGCAGUCCCCUGGGCCUGCACUGACGCUCAUGCACGAAAGCGUGGGGAGCAAACAGGAUUAGAUACCCCAGUAGUCCCUGUCUCUUAUAC